Molecule: non-coding RNA, 889 nt
Organism: Pelobates cultripes (western spadefoot toad)
Lineage: Eukaryota; Metazoa; Chordata; Amphibia; Anura; Pelobatidae
Source: the annotation of a GenBank genome assembly
CAAACAAACACACACAGAAGGGCUGGGGGGACAAAGACACACAGCUUAUGGUGAGAACAGAAAAUUUGGGCUGGGUAUCAGAGCUAUGUUAUAUUAUUAUAUUGUGAAUCCGGGCCAGAGUGUAAGAGAGACCCCCUCUCCAGAAUCCAAUUUUUUCCCCACAACUUUCUAUGAGAGAAACUGUAAAAUUACCAUAUGCAUGGGCAUCUGUGAGUCAUUUAACUCCUGAAAAACUAUGAAUGAAACUGCUUGACAGGCUAACAGAAGAUAUACUGCCUAAGAGAACACUGAAAGGUGAGCAUCUAUUCCAUUUUGUUUUUUUAAUUCAGUUUUGUGGUUCUUUGGUUUUUGUUAGUUAUCUCGAUCAAAAAGAUGGAUAAAAACCAUAUUAUAAAAUACAUUUAAACCUCUGUUCAUUGUAUUUCAUAUUAAUUUCUGUUUUCUAUCUGGGUUUUUUUUCUUAAUUUUUUUCUGGAUAAUAAUUCAGCCUAAGAGAAAAAAAGAUUAUAGAUAACCAUGGAAAUGCAGCAAGCAAUUUGUUAUACAAGAGAUGUAAUUUGUAAAAUAAGGGAUGGUACAAUUUCAGCAUGCAAAUACCUCAGACGUAAGAUGAAAGGGUGAAAAUUAGUUAACCAGGACUGAAAGCAUUGAACUAUCAGAGCAAUACACUAUGCAAUGUCCUGCAGUGCCCCCUUCUGUUCAUUUUCAUAACUGAACUUUUAAAAUAAUUCUAAAAAAAAAUAAAUCUAAACUGCAUGUUUAAAAACUAAGAGCUCUUUGUAAUUAUUAAUGAUAUUGAAAGAGCCGAUAUAAUUCAUUUACAGCUUUUCAAAUAAUUGAUUGUGUGUACUUCAUUUUUCACAGAAAUAAACUGCAAACAAUUUCAGAG